CUGAACCAGCCAAGUAGCGUGAAGGAUGACUGCCCUAUGGGUUGUAAACUUCUUUUAUACGGGAAUAAAGUGAGGUACGUGUGCCUUUUUGUAUGUACCGUAUGAAUAAGGAUCGGCUAACUCCGUGCCAGCAGCCGCGGUAAUACGGAGGAUCCGAGCGUUAUCCGGAUUUAUUGGGUUUAAAGGGAGCGUAGGCGGACGCUUAAGUCAGUUGUGAAAGUUUGCGG
RNAcentral lists this ribosomal RNA (227 nucleotides) under uncultured bacterium. RNAcentral's name for it is "partial 16S ribosomal RNA". It matches the Rfam family "Bacterial small subunit ribosomal RNA", at positions 383 to 607 of the family's 1533-position model. The record is from RNAcentral.